CCUACGGGAGGCUGCAGUGGGGAAUAUUGGACAAUGGGCGAAAGCCUGAUCCAGCCAUGCCGCGUGUGUGAAGAAGGCCUUCGGGUUGUAAAGCACUUUCAGUGGGGAAGAAAGCCUUGGGGCUAAUACCCUCGAGGAAGGACAUCACCCACAGAAGAAGCACCGGCUAACUCCGUGCCAGCAGCCGCGGUAAUACGGAGGGUGCGAGCGUUAAUCGGAAUUACUGGGCGUAAAGCGCGCGUAGGCGGUCUGAUAAGCCGGUUGUGAAAGCCCCGGGCUCAACCUGGGAACGGCAUCCGGAACUGUCAGGCUAGAGUGCAGGAGAGGAAGGUAGAAUUCCCGGUGUAGCGGUGAAAUGCGUAGAGAUCUGGAGGAAUACCAGUGGCGAAGGCGGCCUUCUGGACUGACACUGACGCUGAGGUGCGAAAGCGUGGGUAGCAAACAGGAUUAGAUACCCUAGUAGUC
This 465-nucleotide ribosomal RNA is filed under the name Vreelandella stevensii. Its description in RNAcentral is "partial 16S ribosomal RNA". It matches the Rfam family "Bacterial small subunit ribosomal RNA", at positions 338 to 795 of the family's 1533-position model. Lineage: Bacteria; Pseudomonadati; Pseudomonadota; Gammaproteobacteria; Oceanospirillales; Halomonadaceae. The record is from RNAcentral.